GAUGAGGGCAGCAUAAGAAAAGCCACAGCAUCAAGAAAGCCUGACAAAGUUCCAAGCAGCAAAGAUCCUUUCGAAGUGGAUGCCUACUGUUGCCUUGCAGAGAUCCGCAUUGUGUGUCAUGUGAACAGAAGCUGGACAUGACAAGAGAAUGUAAGAGAACAUCAAAUAUGAACAAGAAGAAAUCUUUCCUUACCUAUUUGUGGAGUGGCCCUUUGUCAGCAUCUGCUCACUCACAAUGGCUGUCAAACAGUCAAGCGAUAGGACGUAAAGUACCGCUAAUCGUUCCAGCGCACGACAGUGCUUCAAAGUUCUCAUGAAAGUCUUUAUGGGAAGUACCAACCAAAUGGAACAAGAACCUGAUGCUGCCACAGGGAGUCCUUAAGCCAGAUUUGGAGUCCCACUCCUGCCAUUGGCCUGCUUUCUUGAUGAGUAUACAAGGAACAUUUUUAAUUCUGAGGCCCCAGAAAUUCCUAUGGACAGUACCUGAAGCUGAGAUUGGAUGCAUUUGGUCAGGACAUUCGCCUGGGAUAGGCUGAGGCCAAAAUCAAGUCAGAUGUCACACUGAGAAAGGAGCAAGUGCCAGCUGCACAUGCCUCUUGCCCAAGGUAUUAGGGAAUUUGGACCCAGGUGGUUGGAUUCUCCCACGAAAGCUCUGCAGUGCACUAGGAACAUUUCAGCUCAUAUCAGAUAGCAACAAAUCAAUCCUUCAAAGACAAAAGAAAAAAGAAUAAACCAAAGACCCUCCAAAUAACACAAAGGUAACUAAGGAGCUGAAGAGGCAAAUAGAUGUUUGGCAGGGUUUUAAAUGUGGUCUUUCAGCAUGGGCACUCACCACCUGCUAGUGACUGUUGGCACCUUUGGGCUCCUUCAGGCUCAGACUCUUUCUAGACUAAGUCAGCAUCAGGCAGACUAACAUAGCCUUAAAAUCUGCAUGUUUGGUGUGGCAUCCCUCGUGGAAUUCACCUAGUGGAUGGCUUUGACCUGUUGUGAGCAUUAACUAUAUACUUUUUUCAGUACAAUUCUGUCUUUACUCACUUGGCUCAUCCCACUGAGAUGUGAAGUUCUGCAUAUAUUUACCUUGCUUACUGAUCCUGGCCUGUCUCAAUAGAAUAAUGGAUUUUGACCAAAGCUGUGCCUUACUGGGUAUGAUAAAAGAAUUCCAGCAAUGGGUAUCAGACACUAGUGUUAGGUAAUAGUUGAUUUUUUUUUUCUCACUUUGGAAAUGUGAUUUCUUGAGUUGGGAAGGAAAAAAAAGUCCAUUUCAAUGCCAUAAAUACUAAAAUCCUUAUUACAUUCUAUGGCUGUACUCUGUAUAACCAGCACCUUGUUGUUCAGAUCAUUCAGACCUAACACAGCAGGCUGUGGCUUGUUCCUAACCUGUACACUCUGACCUUCUCCCAGUGAAAAUCAGAUUUGGUUAAGACCUGGGACUCAUUCUGACACACAGGCAAAAGAGUCAUAGGAGCUGGAAGGUGUUUCCAGAUUCAGCAAGCUAGGAGCACUGCAGCCAGGCCUUUCAGCUGAGCUCUGCAGUGCUGCUGGUUCCAUGUUCAUCCAGUAUUGAAUGUGUCUGGUUUGCUGGUUUGAUUAUUAAACAAAAGGAUGAGUUGAGUCAUAGACUCUUGGAGACGUGUGGAAGAUAGAAAAAGGGAUUUCUGUCCUUCCUGCCUCAGAAGAAAUAAACAUAAC
Molecule: long non-coding RNA, 1689 nt
Organism: Pogoniulus pusillus (Red-fronted tinkerbird)
Lineage: Eukaryota; Metazoa; Chordata; Aves; Piciformes; Lybiidae
Exons: 7
Source: RefSeq, a predicted model, not a curated record